This is a long non-coding RNA of Pezoporus occidentalis (night parrot), 383 nucleotides long. RefSeq lists it as uncharacterized. The transcript is spliced from 2 exons. NCBI's taxonomy places the organism in Eukaryota, Metazoa, Chordata, Aves, Psittaciformes, Psittacidae. The record is from RefSeq and is a predicted model, not a curated record.
AUCAGUGGUGACAGCCAGGAUGGUGAAUAUGUAGCAGCUUGAAUUGGCCUUGGUAAAACAACCCCUCUCUUUAUUGUCUUUCAUGUACACACCAAUUGCUGAUUAGAAUCCUGCUCUGCACAUUUUGUCUGAGCAGGCGCCUGGAUCAUUAAUAGUAUCUGUAUGCAACUGUGAAAACCCACGUAAUGCUCAGAAUUGGACUCAGUUUUCUAAAUGAAGAACCAGAUGAAUAUCUGCAAAUCAACUUCUCUCUGUGGCAAAGGUUUCUUUUUUUUUUUUUCCUACCCUGUAGAAGAAAAUUCCAAUACAGGUUUUUAAUUGGAAAUGUUGGAGGAGACCUCUAGACACCAGAAACAAAUACACUGGAGAUGUUUUGCUCAUUA